UGGGGAAUUUUGGACAAUGGGCGCAAGCCUGAUCCAGCCAUGCCGCGUGAGUGAAGAAGGCCUUCGGGUUGUAAAGCUCUUUCGGCGGGGACGAAACGGUUCGUGACAACACCACGGACUAAUGACGGUACCCGCAUAAGAAGCACCGGCUAACUACGUGCCAGCAGCCGCGGUAAUACGUAGGGUGCAGGCGUUAAUCGGAAUUACUGGGCGUAAAGCGUGCGCAGGCGGUUUGUUAAGACAGGUGUGAAAUCCCCGGGCUUAACCUGGGAAUUGCGCUUGUAACUGGCAGGCUAGAGUGUGGCAGAGGGGGUGGAAUUCCACGUGUAGCAGUGAAAUGCGUAGAUAUGUGGAGGAACACCGAUGGCGAAGGCAGCCCCCUGGGUUAACACUGACGCUCAUGCACGAAAGCGUGGGGAGCAAACAGGAUUAGAUACCCCCGUAGUCCCUGAGCGGGCUGGCAAGGCGCAU
This 471-nucleotide ribosomal RNA is filed under the name uncultured bacterium. RNAcentral's name for it is "bacterial SSU rRNA". It matches the Rfam family "Bacterial small subunit ribosomal RNA", at positions 355 to 825 of the family's 1533-position model. The record is from RNAcentral.